UUACCCUGGAGCUGUACAAGUCACACACAGCUCCAUUGGAGAGAAAACUGGGUGGAACCAUUUGACUGAAAAUCCAUGUCCAAGGCCAACAAGAAAGAGCUGAGACACUGCAGAAAGAGCAGGAAUAAAUAAAAGGUGAAGACAGAGACCAGACAAGGAGGACUCAAUUACAGACUGAUAGAAGACUCAAGGAAGAAAAUGAAGCUGGACCUGUGAAGAACUGUCGAAACAGCUGUAGAGGAAUUGUGGUGGAGGCAGUAAUGGCUCCUUUAGUAGCAGAGAAUAGAAAGAUCUCGAAAACAAAGCCUAUUGUCAGGAGACUUGCACCCAUCUUGGCCUACUUCCAAGUAUUAUAGUUUCAUGAAGGCAGGAAACAGAUGUAUCUUCUCCAUGGUUGUAUGCUGAGAGCUUUGCACACUGCCUGGCAC
This is a long non-coding RNA of Nomascus leucogenys (northern white-cheeked gibbon), 428 nucleotides long. RefSeq lists it as uncharacterized. Lineage: Eukaryota; Metazoa; Chordata; Mammalia; Primates; Hylobatidae. The record is from RefSeq and is a predicted model, not a curated record. The transcript is spliced from 3 exons.